UACGUAGGGUGCAAGCGUUGUCCGGAAUUAUUGGGCGUAAAGAGCUCGUAGGCGGUCUGUCGCGUCGGAUGUGAAAACCCGGGGCUUAACCCCGGGCCUGCAUUCGAUACGGGCAGACUCGAGUGUGGUAGGGGAGACUGGAACUCCUGGUGUAGCGGUGGAAUGCGCAGAUAUCAGGAGGAACACCGGUGGCGAAGGCGGUUCUCUGGGCAUUACCUGACGCUGAGGAGCGAAAGUGUGGGGAGCGAACAGG
Molecule: ribosomal RNA, 253 nt
Filed under: uncultured bacterium
Lineage: Bacteria
Description: partial 16S ribosomal RNA
Rfam family: Bacterial small subunit ribosomal RNA
Source: RNAcentral